RNAcentral lists this ribosomal RNA (343 nucleotides) under uncultured Leptolinea sp. RNAcentral describes it as "bacterial SSU rRNA". It matches the Rfam family "Bacterial small subunit ribosomal RNA", at positions 1026 to 1382 of the family's 1533-position model. Lineage: Bacteria; Bacillati; Chloroflexota; Anaerolineae; Anaerolineales; Anaerolineaceae. The record is from RNAcentral.
GGGCUUGCACAGGUGCUGCAUGGCUGUCGUCAGCUCGUGUCGUGAGAUGUUCGGUUAAGUCCGCUAACGAGCGCAACCCUCACUGUGUGUUAUAUGUGUCACACGGGGACCGCCGGUCUUAAGCCGGAGGAAGGUGGGGAUGACGUCAAGUCAGCAUGGCCUUUAUAUCCUGGGCUACACACACGCUACAAUGGCCAACACAAUAGGUUGCUAAGCCGCGAGGUGGAGCCAAUCCAUAAAGUUGGUCUCAGUUCAGAUUGUAGGCUGCAACCCGCCUGCAUGAAGAUGGAGUUGCUAGUAACCGCAGGUCAGCUAUACUGCGGUGAAUACGUUCCCGGGGCUU